UCGCCAUCGCGAUGAAUGUUUGCGAACCAGGUCAGGACAGGAAUGUAGCAGCCUUAAGUAUUAAUGUUCAUGUGCGGUGGUUUUUA
This 86-nucleotide signal recognition particle RNA is filed under the name Bacilli bacterium. RNAcentral's name for it is "signal recognition particle sRNA small type". It matches the Rfam family "Bacterial small signal recognition particle RNA". Rfam says of the family: The signal recognition particle (SRP) is a universally conserved ribonucleoprotein involved in the co-translational targeting of proteins to membranes. Archaeal SRP consists of a 7S RNA and homologues of the eukaryotic SRP19 and SRP54 proteins. In most bacteria, the SRP consists of a 4.5S RNA and the Ffh protein (a homologue of the eukaryotic SRP54 protein). Lineage: Bacteria; Bacillati; Bacillota; Bacilli. The record is from RNAcentral.